AAGCAUAUCAAUAAGCGGAGGAAAAGAAACUAACAAGGAUUCCCCUAGUAACUGCGAGUGAAGCGGGAAAAGCUCAAAUUUAAAAUCUGAUGGUCUUUUUGGCUGUCCGAGUUGUAAUCUAGAGAAGUGCUACCCGCGCUGGACCGUGUACAAGUCUCCUGGAAUGGAGCAUCAUAGAGGGUGAGAAUCCCGUCUUUGACAUGGACUUACCAGGGCUUUGUGGUGCGCUCUCAAAGAGUCGAGUUGUUUGGGAAUGCAGCUCAAAAUGGGUGGUAAAUGCCAUCUAAAGCUAAAUAUUGGCGAGAGACCGAUAGCGAACAAGUACCGUGAGGGAAAGAUGAAAAGAACUUUGGAAAGAGAGUUAAACAGUACGUGAAAUUGCUGAAAGGGAAACGCUUGAAGUCAGUCACAUUGGCUGGAAAUCAACCAUUGCUUUUGCUUGGUGUACUUUCUGACUGAUGGGUCAGCAUCAAUUUCUAUCGUUGGAUAAAGGCUUGGGGAAUGUGGCAUCUUAGGAUGUGUUAUAGCCCUUGGUCGCAUACAGCGGUUGGGAUUGAGGAACUCAGCACGCCGCAAGGCCGGGUUUCGACCACGUUACGUGCUUAGGAUGCUGGCAUAAUGGCUUUAAUCGACCCGUCUUGAAACACGGACCAAGGAGUCUAACAUGCCUGCGAGUGUUUGGAUGGAAAAUCCAUGCGCGCAAUGAAAGUGAAAGGUUGAGAUCCCUGUCGUGGGGAGCAUCGACGCCCGGACCAGACCUUUUGUGACGGAUCCGCGGUAGAGCAUGUAUGUUGGGACCCGAAAGAUGGUGAACUAUGCCUGAAUAGGGUGAAGCCAGAGGAAACUCUGGUGGAGGCUCGUAGCGAUUCUGACGUGCAAAUCGAUCGUCAAAUUUGGGUAUAGGGGCGAAAGACUAAUCGAACCAUCUAGUAGCUGGUUCCUG
RNAcentral lists this ribosomal RNA (943 nucleotides) under Mallocybe isabellina. RNAcentral describes it as "eukaryotic LSU rRNA". It matches the Rfam family "Eukaryotic large subunit ribosomal RNA", at positions 36 to 960 of the family's 3401-position model. Lineage: Eukaryota; Fungi; Basidiomycota; Agaricomycetes; Agaricales; Inocybaceae. The record is from RNAcentral.